CAGUGCCACGGGAAUACAGAGGGUGCGAGCGUUAAUCGGAUUUACUGGGCGUAAAGCGUGCGUAGGCGGCUUCUUAAGUCGGAUGUGAAAUCCCUGAGCUUAACUUAGGAAUUGCAUUCGAUACUGGGAAGCUAGAGUAUGGGAGAGGAUGGUAGAAUUCCAGGUGUAGCGGUGAAAUGCGUAGAGAUCUGGAGGAAUACCGAUGGCGAAGGCAGCCAUCUGGCCUAAUACUGACGCUGAGGUACGAAAGCAUGGGGAGCAAACAGGAUUAGAUACCCCAGUAGUCCCUGUCUCUUAUACA
Molecule: ribosomal RNA, 301 nt
Filed under: uncultured bacterium
Lineage: Bacteria
Description: partial 16S ribosomal RNA
Rfam family: Bacterial small subunit ribosomal RNA
Source: RNAcentral